RNAcentral lists this unclassified non-coding RNA (2322 nucleotides) under Hevea brasiliensis (rubber tree). Lineage: Eukaryota; Viridiplantae; Streptophyta; Magnoliopsida; Malpighiales; Euphorbiaceae. The record is from RNAcentral.
AUUAUAGCGUACGACUGUACGCGCAAACCCAUUACUUCUCCUUGUAAGCUUUCUCUGGUUUCCUCCAACUCGCAGUUGGGUCUCAGUUUCUCCCUCGUUUCUCUCUGCAGAAAUCCAACCCAAUCCAACCCCAUCACCGAUCGACCCAAAUGGUUCAACCAGCCGCAACGCCGCCGAACCACCAAGCCACUCAACAAUUCCUCUCCUCAGUCCUCUCUCAACGCGGUCCCUCCUCCCUCCCUUACACCGAAGACACCAAAUGGCUAAUCCGUCAGCACCUUCUCUCCCUUAUCGCCAACUACCCUUCUCUCGAACCCAAAACCGCUACUUUCACCCACAACGAUGGUCGCUCGGUCAACCUCCUUCAAGCCGACGGCACCAUCCCCAUGCCGUUUCAGGGUGUCACUUACAACAUUCCGAUCAUCAUCUGGCUCAUGGACUCUUAUCCUCGCCACCCUCCUUGCGCCUACGUGAAUCCCACGCGCGAUAUGAUCAUCAAGCGCCCUCAUCCUCACGUUAACCCUUCUGGCUUAGUCUCUGUUCCUUAUUUGCAGAAUUGGAUCUACCCUAGCUCUAAUCUCGUCGAUCUAGUUCGCGAAUUGAGUGCGGUUUUUGGUCGUGAUCCUCCUCUCUAUUCCCAACGCCGCCCAAACCCUAAUCCUAGUCCUAGCCCUAGCCCCACCCCCAAUUUUGCUGCGAAUCCGUCCAGUAUAUCGCAUUCCUCGAGUUUCGGGUCAUUGGGUCCCUCUGGAGGACAUACUGGAUAUCCUCGUCCGAUGAAUAGGCCGUACCCCCCAUCGCCGUACGGUGGUAGUAGUAGUAGUAGUAGCGGUGUUGUGCCAGGGCGGCAGCAAACGGAGGAUGCUGCAGAGGUUUAUAAGAGGAAUGCAAUCAAUAAGAUUGUGGAGACCGUUCAUGGGGACAUCAUGCAAUUGAGGAAGGCUAGGGAGGUGGAGAUGGAAGGUUUGUUCAGUGCGCAGGCUGUGUUGAAGAGGAGGGAAGAAGAGAUAAAUAAGGGACUUAUGGAGAUGCAAGAUGAGAAGGAGGGUUUGGAGGCGCAAUUACAAGUUGUAUUGAUGAAUACAGAUGUUUUAGAGGCGUGGGUGAGAGAGAACAAUGAGAAAACUAAAGUGAAUGCAGGGGAUUUGGAUGUGGAUAAUGUGUUUGAGUGCAUUGAUCCUCUAUCAAAGCAGAUGUUAGAGUGUACAGCAGCUGAUUUAGCAAUCGAGGACGUAGUUUAUUCCUUAGAUAAGGCAGUGCAGGAAGGGGCAGUGCCCUUUGAUCAGUACUUAAGGAAUGUAAGGUUGUUGUCAAGGGAGCAGUUUUUCCAUCGGGCUACUGCCACGAAAGUUAGGGCCGUGCAGAUGCAGGCUCAGGUUGCUAGUAUGGCUGCUAGAGCUCCACAUUAUGCUUCCUAAUCAUUAAAGGCGUUUGUGCUACAUCUGUUAGCAAUUGGAGGGAUAUUGUAAGAGAUAGUUUAAACGUUAAAUUCUUGUCAAGAACUAUUCUAAUACUUUUUCUUGUCUUUAUUUUUUUUUCCUUGCUGUUAAAUUGCUGCUUAUUGAUUUGUAUGGAUGGGAAAAUAAUACAAUUUUCUGUGAAUUAUAUUGCUAUCAUUCAGUAAAUUAUUUGUUGAAACUUACUGUUGCUUCAUUCCAAUUUCUACAUGAAUUUUGAAAUUGUGGUCAUACAGGGUUGAGUGUUGAGUUUAAUGGAUUUGGUUUUGGUUUUGGUUGGAGUAAUGUUUAAAAAACAAUGUAUGCUGUAUCCCUAGUUAUGCCUGUUGCAUUCUUAACUAGUGAUUAACUUAAUGUAGUUUGGCUUCUAUUUUGUUCUGGUAGAACAGUACUUGGUAUUAUUUAAUGGUGUUGCAAUUUGAGGAUAUUGAUUUUUGUGUUUAAAUCAUCAAGGAGUGGUACCAAAUAAGGGCAUCUUGAUUAUUGGCUUAUUUACGAUCUGCGUUUUAUGUGUUUGAUGCUAGUAUGGGAGAAAACAUAAUUUGAUCUUGUCAUCUGGAUAUUUGCAUGUAAGUGGUCUGUGGAUAUGUAUUGUAAUCUUGAUAAACAUAAUUUGAUCUUCUUGUAUGUAUUGGUCGGAGGAAAGAACAUAGUCGAAGGCAGAGAUUGAUUCUUUUUGUUGUAUCAAUGUUGAUGAUAAUUGCUAUCAGAUUUUGCUUUGGUGAUGCUGGGCCUGUCCAGGCUGAUUAAGAGCAUCCUCAAAGGUCUGCAGAUGUUCGGAUUUCAGUGCACGUAUGAUCAGAAUCAAAGGGUUUAAGUCAAAUCAUCUGGCUUCAGGACCUGCAUUAGUAAUGUAGAAGUCUUG